Molecule: ribosomal RNA, 380 nt
Filed under: uncultured eukaryote
Lineage: Eukaryota
Description: partial 18S ribosomal RNA
Rfam family: Eukaryotic small subunit ribosomal RNA
Source: RNAcentral
CAAUAGCGUAUAUUAAAGUUGUUGCAGUUAAAAAGCUCGUAGUUGGAUUUGUGGCGUACGGUGUGUUCCGGGCACUUGUUGUCUGAGUAACCUGCUGUUGCCAUCCUUGGGUAGAACCUGUGUGGCAUUAGGUUGUCGUGCAGGGGAUGCCCAUCAUUUACUGUGAAAAAAUUAGAGUGUUCAAAGCAGGCUUAUGCCGUUGAAUAUAUUAGCAUGGAAUAAUGAGAUAGGACUUUUUUGCUAUUUUGUUGGUUUGCGCAAAGAGGUAAUGAUUAAUAGGGACAGUUGGGGGUAUUCGUAUUCCAUUGUCAGAGGUGAAAUUCUUGGAUUUUUGGAAGACGAACUACUGCGAAAGCAUUUACCAAGGAUGUUUUCAUUAA